Molecule: ribosomal RNA, 468 nt
Filed under: uncultured bacterium
Lineage: Bacteria
Description: partial 16S ribosomal RNA
Rfam family: Bacterial small subunit ribosomal RNA
Source: RNAcentral
GACGAACGCUGGCGGCGUGCUUAACACAUGCAAGUCGAACGGAAAGGCCCUGCUUAUGUGGGGUGCUCGAGGGGCGAAGGGGUGAGUAACACGUGGGUAACCUGCCCUUGACUGUGGGAGAACUUCAUGAAACUGGGGCUAAUAGGGGAUAGGAUCUCCUGCUGCAUGGUGGGGGUGGGAAGGUUUCGGCGGUUGGGGAUGGACUCGCGGCCUGUCGGCUUGUUGGUUGGGUAGUGGAUGACCAAGGCUUUGACCGGUGGCCGGCCUGAGAGGGUGACAGGCUCCGUUGGGCCUGGGAUACGGCACAGCCCACUCCGGGACGCAGGGGUGCGGUAUGUUGCACUAUGCGCGGAAGCCUGAUCCAGUCACGCCGCGUGCGGGAUGACGGCCAUCGCGUAGUAUACCAAUGUCGCCUGUGACGAAGCGAGAGUGACGGUACCGGGUAAAGAAGCACCGGCUAACUCCGUG